RNAcentral lists this non-coding RNA (155 nucleotides) under fish gut metagenome. The record is from RNAcentral.
GUUUUUGCAUACAGGCAGAAAAUAAUAGGGAAUCAGGUGAAAAUCCUGAACGAUCCGGUCACUGUAUUUGGCGAGCAUUUUUUCAAUAUACCAUUGCGAAAGUGAGAAGGUGAGGAAAUGCGUUUGAACCAUAAGUCAGGAAACCUGCAUCAUGU